This 76-nucleotide transfer RNA is filed under the name Gammaproteobacteria bacterium. RNAcentral describes it as "tRNA-Lys". It matches the Rfam family "tRNA". Rfam says of the family: Transfer RNA (tRNA) molecules are approximately 80 nucleotides in length. Their secondary structure includes four short double-helical elements and three loops (D, anti-codon, and T loops). Lineage: Bacteria; Pseudomonadati; Pseudomonadota; Gammaproteobacteria. RNAcentral also lists the same sequence under 4 other names. The record is from RNAcentral.
GGGGCGUUAGCUCAGUUGGUAGAGCAUCUGACUUUUAAUCAGGUGGUCCUGGGUUCGAGACCCGGACGCCCCACCA